Molecule: ribosomal RNA, 497 nt
Filed under: uncultured bacterium
Lineage: Bacteria
Description: partial 16S ribosomal RNA
Rfam family: Bacterial small subunit ribosomal RNA
Source: RNAcentral
GAUGAACGCUGGCGGCGUGCCUAAUACAUGCAAGUCGAGCGAACAGACGAGGAGCUUGCUCCUCUGACGUUAGCGGCGGACGGGUGAGUAACACGUGGAUAACCUACCUAUAAGACUGGGAUAACUUCGGGAAACCGGAGCUAAUACCGGAUAAUAUAUUGAACCGCAUGGUUCAAUAGUGAAAGACGGUUUUGCUGUCACUUAUAGAUGGAUCCGCGCCGCAUUAGCUAGUUGGUAAGGUAACGGCUUACCAAGGCAACGAUUGGUAGCCGACCUGAGAGGGUGAUCGGCCACACUGGAACGUAGACACGGACCAGACUCCUACGGGAGGCAGCAGUAGGGAAUCGUCCGCAAUGGGCGAAAGCCUUACGGAGCAACGCCGCGUGAGUGAUGAAGGUCUUCGGAUCGUAAAACUCUGUUAUUAGGGAAGAACAAAUGUGUAUGUAACUAUGCACGUCCUGACGGUACCUACUCAGAAAGCCACGGCUAACUACGUG